CUAUUUUUGUAGACUAAUUUACCAUUAACAGCAAAUCCCUAAGAUUUACUCAACCAGUACAGCAGUCGUUGGCCAGAGUUCAAAUUUCUGAUUCGAAGGAAUCUGAGUUCUGCCUGCCAGUAUUGAAUAUUAAUGGCUUCCUCCAUCCAGGAGCUGUGUCUUUGCUCACUACGGAACAGUGUUGAGGCUUUGAAUGGGGCAUUUUGCUGGUCACCUCCUGGUCGUCCUUCUGCUCACCAAGAGCAGAUACUGUUCUCAGCCCCUUACAUUUACAAGGUCGUUUAAUUCUCACACAGUCCUUUCGGAUAGACACUACUAUCAUCCCCAUUUUACAGAGGAGGAGACUGAGAGGCAGAGGACAUAGGUGAAUUGUCUGAGAUCGCAGGGCUGGCCGUGGAGCUGGGACUUGCACCCGGCCAGCCCGGCUCCAGAGUUUACUACCCUCCUCCUGUACAGCAAGUGCGACCUACACUAAUCACCGCCCAAACAGGCAGGCACUGCAGACAGCUAAGCACACUUCAUACGACUUAAGCACGCAGGAAGGUUAGUUUUCAUUCUGGUGUUCAGCUCAGUUAGGACUCUGUUUUUAUCGCCACAAAGAUGCACGACCCAGAAAGCACAGUCACGUGCCGUUGCCUUCUACGGUCACGGUUUUCUACUUUUUGGCCUCAUUUUCCUGCCCGCUUGGCCUGCUGGGAUGUGAAUGAUGCGUUACUUCUUCUACAGAAUGCAGGACGUGAGAGAGCUUUCGGUUCCCUCCCCACAAGGCGAGUGUGCAUCUUCCACUGCACCCCAAAGCUGCUGCCUGCUUCUCCUCUGUUUUCAUAACCUGGGAUGCCUUCCUCUGAGGUCUGCUUCACAAGAAUGGAUUCAUCACUUCAAUUUGCAAAGUCACAGUUGGGUGGACAUUCCGGUCAAGAAUUCCAGGCGGAGGCCCUCUGUCUUUGACAGCUGGCUCUAGGGUUUAGCUGUUUAGGUUUUUUUGCUCAUGACUACUGGGAUCUGCUCUGCUCAGGAACGAUCCUCCCAUAAUGUGGACGUGGCCGAGGGCUUGGGUGGAACCUUGCAGUGGCGUCAGGGGCUUGCCCUCCAGGGACCCCACUCAGUGGGGCCUCUUACCAUCUAUUGACCAGGCUGUUUUUACAGAGGCACAGGGAGAGAGGCUAAUGGGCAGAAGACGGACAGUAAUGCCGACGGUUUUUGUCGGUAGCAAUGCAAAUGAAUUUUGUCUGGUAGAGAUACAAUUGAUUUCCUUUCUAUAAGAAAGUGUAACCACAAGCAUCAUUUUGUUAUUGGCCUGGAGGACAUUUAGCAGCUUUAUGCCUAUUAGCAAGUUCAUUCCAGAUUCCAACCGCCUAUGCGCACCUUGCGCUCCACGUGUGCUGUUGAACAAGUCGAUAUCUUAUGUCUCCCUCCUUUAUUGAUGAGUUAAACAUGCUCUUUGACAUGUGUUGAAUUUAUUUUUACAUGGAAGUCAUAUACAUCUAGCCUACCCUGUCACUCCGCAAACUCAGGACAUGCCUUUGGCCAUAUAGUCUCUGUUUUUCGAUUAAUCUCUGAACUUCUCAGUACCUCAAGGGCGUGAAGCACAGCCUCUCCC
RNAcentral lists this long non-coding RNA (1600 nucleotides) under Homo sapiens (human). RNAcentral's name for it is "HSALNT0157543". Lineage: Eukaryota; Metazoa; Chordata; Mammalia; Primates; Hominidae. The record is from RNAcentral.